GCCACUUAUCUCUGUGGGAAAGUGACGAACUCUCACUAGGGAGAUCUGGGUUCGAAUCCCAGGUGAGACA
Henosepilachna vigintioctopunctata is the source of this 70-nucleotide non-coding RNA. Lineage: Eukaryota; Metazoa; Arthropoda; Insecta; Coleoptera; Coccinellidae. The record is from the annotation of a GenBank genome assembly.